AAAUAUAGGGAGUUUACUGUUCACAUGGACAAAGUCUUUUCUAUAUUUGCACGGCGUCGCAUAAAUACAAGAUACACAUUACAAGAUACAACCACCAUAUGUGAACAUCCAUAUAUUCAUACACAAUUCACAUUCACAUUCACAUUCACAUCUAUCUGUUUAAAAUAUUUCCUACCCGGAAACUCAUUUUGAAACACUAAGUCAUGAAAACCAAGAAAAAUCUUUUAAAAACCGUUUCCCACACGGAAACCCUUUUUCUUUAAAAGCGCAUUACCACGAGGGGUAGAAAACUAUUUUCAUUUUGCAAGAAUCCAUAAAUCUUUUAUCCACGAAAUUCCAAUUAUUCAAUUAACAUGAAAUACUGAACCAUAAUUACUUUCUAAGUCAUUAUUUAAAAGAAACCGAGUUUA
This 410-nucleotide long non-coding RNA is filed under the name Ananas comosus (pineapple). Its description in RNAcentral is "long non-coding RNA (ACOM_LNC021437)". The record is from RNAcentral. Lineage: Eukaryota; Viridiplantae; Streptophyta; Magnoliopsida; Poales; Bromeliaceae.